CCGACGUGUGUGCUCGUGACUCGUCUCGCCUCUCGCGGGAAUGUGGGAAAUUGGUAAAGCUGUGGAGGUGGUUCGUGGGCGGUACCUUCUUGGCCCAGGCCUGCGUGCCGCUGGCGAGCUCGCGCGGCGUGAGGAUGUGCGCGCCCGUGGAGCCCGUGAACUGGCCCGGCCGGCUCUCCUUCGUCCAGCCGAACUGCGGGAUCGACAUGUCCUUACGGAUCGACCAUAUUUCGUGCCAUAUUAAUUAUCUUUCGUUGUAAAAUAUGUUUAUUUUUCGAGCUUAUUAAGUCUAUUGGAUAAUACAUAUGAAGCUUUUUAAAAUAAAUUAUUUUUUAUGUAAAACAAAAAUGGAAAAGAA
Molecule: long non-coding RNA, 358 nt
Organism: Nymphalis io (European peacock)
Lineage: Eukaryota; Metazoa; Arthropoda; Insecta; Lepidoptera; Nymphalidae
Exons: 2
Source: RefSeq, a predicted model, not a curated record